CGCUGGCCGAAGUGUGAAAGGGGGAUUCCAAGUGCUUUGCCUUCGGAUAAAGUUUUUGUAAGUGGUAAAAACCUGGCCAAAAAAUGGGGGGGAAAAACGGGGGCCGCCCCCCCCGGAACCCCCGGCCCCCCAGGGGGCAUCCGAAUUUUUGGGGCCUAAAGCUUUCUUACCCGGCCAAAAAAUUCUCUGGUAAAAUUGUGAACUUUACUUUACCACCUGGCAAGGAAAAUUUUUAAACAAAAAACGGGAAGGAUUCAAAGUUUUUCUGGGGGGAGGGGUAAAUGGUUAUAUUCUUGGAAAAAUUCCCAUGGGCGAAGGCUUCGGUUUAGAACAGGCUUAACGGGAAGAAACAAAGGCAAGGGAACCAAACCGAAUUAAAUCCCCAAGAAGCCCUACCAUUAAACCCGGAAGGCAAUGGGUGGCUUUUUCUUAGGGAAUUUCCAUGGCUAAAUGAAGAACUUUAACUUACCCCCUGGGAAAGUCCGGCCCCAGGAUUGAACUUUAAGGAAUUGGCCGGGGGUUCAUUACAGGGGUGAAGAAGGGCGGUCCAUUGGAAUCCCACGCGGAAAUUCUCACAGGGGCCAACGGAAAAUGGAGGUCAAGAUUGAGGGUUUAACUUACAAGGCGAGGGGUUGUUGAAGGCCGGCGGCAGGCUGUUGCGGUAGGUUGCACGGUUAGUCGUGGCACGGGCAAGGACCAUAUUCAACUUUAACAUCAAGGCCCUACGGGAUGAUUGGGUACAUUAGGAAACUGCUUUCGUAAGGAGGAAGGAAGGUGCGGGCAACGUUAAGGUCGUUAUGCCCCGAAUCUCCUGGGCUACCACGCGCUUCUGCAAUGGGUGGAGACAAUUAGGAUGCAACUUCCGAAAGGAGGAAGCCAACCCCAGGAAACUUCCAUCCUAAGUCCUGAAUUGAGGAUUGUAACUCAUCCUCAUGAAACGGAAUCCUUAGUAAUCGGACUUCAUUACGGUCCGGUGAUACUUGUCCCUG
Molecule: ribosomal RNA, 989 nt
Filed under: uncultured euryarchaeote
Lineage: Archaea; Methanobacteriati; Methanobacteriota
Description: partial 16S ribosomal RNA
Rfam family: Archaeal small subunit ribosomal RNA
Source: RNAcentral